Molecule: ribosomal RNA, 593 nt
Filed under: uncultured bacterium
Lineage: Bacteria
Description: partial 16S ribosomal RNA
Rfam family: Bacterial small subunit ribosomal RNA
Source: RNAcentral
UGGGGAAUUUUGGACAAUGGGCGAAAGCCUGAUCCAGCAAUGCCGCGUGUGUGAAGAAGGCCUUCGGGUUGUAAAGCACUUUUGUCCGGAAAGAAAUCCUUGGCUCUAAUACAGUCGGGGGGAUGAUGGUACCGGAAGAAUAAGCACCGGCUAACUACGUGCCAGCAGCCGCGGUAAUACGUAGGGUGCAAGCGUUAAUCGGAAUUACUGGGCGUAAAGCGUGCGCAGGCGGUUUGCUAAGACCGAUGUGAAAUCCCCGGGCUCAACCUGGGAACUGCAUUGGUGACUGGCAGGCUAGAGUAUGGCAGAGGGGGGUAGAAUUCCACGUGUAGCAGUGAAAUGCGUAGAGAUGUGGAGGAAUACCGAUGGCGAAGGCAGCCCCCUGGGGCCAAAUACUGACGCUCAUGCACGAAAGCGUGGGGAGCAAACAGGAUUAGAUACCCUGGUAGUCCAGCGCCCAUAAAACGAUGUCAACUAGUUGUUGGGGAUUCAUUUCCUUAGUAACGUAGCUAACGCGUGAAGUUGACCGCCUGGGGGAGUACGGUCGCAAAGAUUAAAACUUAAAUGAAUUGGCGGGGUCAUAGCUGUUUCCU